UGGCGGCACUAGCGCGGUGGUCCCACCUGACCCCAUGCCGAACUCAGAAGUGAAACGCCGUAGCGCCGAUGGUAGUGUGGGGUCUCCCCAUGCGAGAGUAGGGAACUGCCAGGCU
This 115-nucleotide ribosomal RNA is filed under the name Salmonella enterica. Lineage: Bacteria; Pseudomonadati; Pseudomonadota; Gammaproteobacteria; Enterobacterales; Enterobacteriaceae. The record is from RNAcentral. RNAcentral also lists the same sequence under 2 other names.